GUGUCAGCAGCCGCGGUAAUACGUAGGGUGCAAGCGUUGUCCGGAAUUAUUGGGCGUAAAGAGCUCGUAGGCGGCUUGUCGCGUCGGCUGUGAAAACCUGGGGCUCAACCCCGGGCCUGCAGCCGAUACGGGCAAGCUAGAAUUCGGUAGGGGAGACUGGAAUUCCUGGUGUAGCGGUGAAAUGCGCAGAUAUCAGGAGGAACACCGGUGGCGAAGGCGGGUCUCUGGGCCGAUAUUGACGCUGAGGAGCGAAAGCGUGGGGAGCGAACAGGAUUAGAUACCCUGGUAGUCCACGCCGUAAACGUUGGGCGCUAGGUGUGGGCCACAUUCCACGUGGUCUGUGCCGUAGCUAACGCAUUAAGCGCCCCGCCUGGGGAGUACGGCCGCAAGGCUAAA
This 396-nucleotide ribosomal RNA is filed under the name uncultured bacterium. RNAcentral describes it as "bacterial SSU rRNA". It matches the Rfam family "Bacterial small subunit ribosomal RNA", at positions 505 to 898 of the family's 1533-position model. The record is from RNAcentral.